GAAUUUUUUUUUUCAAAUUUUGACUUCAAAUCAAGUUGAAUUUUUGCAUUCGAAUAACUCGAAUAUCAAACCCUUUUACUUCCCCCAAAACCCCCCAAAACUUUUUUUUCCGAAUUUAUGUCUACUAUUUAUAUCAUUGAAUUAAAUUUCACAUUUUGUACUAGUAACAAACCAAUUUUAUCUGGCCCAAACCCAAACCAAAUAAACAGAACAACAAAACAAAAAUAAAAAUAAAGUCUAUUUACAUAAGCCCAAAUACAAAAAAACCCUAAAAGCCCAAAGCCCACUAUCUAAACCUAAAAUAGAAAACCCUAAUUCCCCUAAGCUUCCAGCUGUUGUCGCUCCUCUGCCUUUGCCACGUCAGCAGUUGCGCCACUCGAGGUUUGCCCUCCUUACACC
Molecule: long non-coding RNA, 399 nt
Filed under: Gossypium raimondii (Peruvian cotton)
Lineage: Eukaryota; Viridiplantae; Streptophyta; Magnoliopsida; Malvales; Malvaceae
Description: long non-coding RNA (GRAI_LNC003936)
Source: RNAcentral